Molecule: ribosomal RNA, 466 nt
Filed under: uncultured bacterium
Lineage: Bacteria
Description: partial 16S ribosomal RNA
Rfam family: Bacterial small subunit ribosomal RNA
Source: RNAcentral
ACGAACGCUGGCGGCGUGCUUAACACAUGCAAGUCGAACGGAAAGGCCCUGCUUUUGUGGGGUGCUCGAGUGGCGAACGGGUGAGUAACACGUGAGUAACCUGCCCUUGACUUUGGGAUAACUUCAGGAAACUGGGGCUAAUACCGGAUAGGAGCUCCUGCUGCAUGGUGGGGGUUGGAAAGUUUCGGCGGUUGGGGAUGGACUCGCGGCUUAUCAGCUUGUUGGUGGGGUAGUGGCUUACCAAGGCUUUGACGGGUAGCCGGCCUGAGAGGGUGACCGGCCACAUUGGGACUGAGAUACGGCCCAGACUCCUACGGGAGGCAGCAAUGGGGAAUAUUGCACAAUGGGCGGAAGCCUGAUGCAGCAACGCCGCGUGCGGGAUGACGGCCUUCGGGUUGUAAACCGCUUUCGCCUGUGACGAAGCGUGAGUGACGGUAAUGGGGAAAGAAGCACCGGCUAACUACGU